UGCCUACGGGACGCAGCAGUGGGGAAUAUUGGGCAAUGGGCGCAAGCCUGACCCAGCAACGCCGCGUGAAGGAAGAAGGCUUUCGGGUUGUAAACUUCUUUUCUGAGGGACGAAGAAAGUGACGGUACCUCAGGAAUAAGCCACGGCUAACUACGUGCCAGCAGCCGCGGUAAUACGUAGGUGGCAAGCGUUAUCCGGCUUUAUUGGGUGUAAAGGGCGUGUAGGCGGGAAUGCAAGUCAGGUGUGAAAACUAUGGGCUCAACCCAGAGCCUGCAUUUGAAACUGAAUU
Molecule: ribosomal RNA, 289 nt
Filed under: uncultured bacterium
Lineage: Bacteria
Description: partial 16S ribosomal RNA
Rfam family: Bacterial small subunit ribosomal RNA
Source: RNAcentral